RNAcentral lists this long non-coding RNA (286 nucleotides) under Nicotiana benthamiana. Its description in RNAcentral is "long non-coding RNA (NBEN_LNC036151)". Lineage: Eukaryota; Viridiplantae; Streptophyta; Magnoliopsida; Solanales; Solanaceae. The record is from RNAcentral.
UUCUACAAGCUUAGUCUUUCUUAAGUUCUACUAAGCAUCCGGGUAGGCUGACUAGCUAACUUUGGCAUUGAAAGUUCGCUAGGCCGGACAGAUCGUUGUGUUUGAGUUACGGUCUCGUCACAUUUUGGUUGGGUGGUGGCAUGUUGCCGCAAAGGGUAGUGGAGGGGUUUUUCUAAUCUUAUCCUACAAUUAAUAAUUAAUUAGGUAUUAUUCCGCUACUCAAUAAUUACCCAAUUACAAAUAUAAUUAACAACUAUUUCUAUUUACUUAAAAUAUUAUUCAUUUU